Molecule: long non-coding RNA, 29504 nt
Filed under: Zea mays
Lineage: Eukaryota; Viridiplantae; Streptophyta; Magnoliopsida; Poales; Poaceae
Description: long non-coding RNA (ZMAY_LNC003155)
Source: RNAcentral
CCGCACGUCCGUCUCUAGUCCUGGCCGCGGGGCAGUCCGUGCCAUUGAGUUUGCCGGCCGUGACCUCGCUUUGCUCCUCGCGUCGUUGCUCGCCGAGUCUUUUCUCAGUCCGCGAUCUCUCCCUGCCCGUCGUUGCAUCGUUUGUCGUCGUGUGUGCAGCAACGUCGCUGAUUCCUCCGUAGUGCCUAUCGACAAACUUCGCUUCAUCGGUUUAUCGCCUUCGGUUCGGCUCACAUGUGGCCGCCGAACGCGUUCGCCUCUUAACCCCGUGUCGUUAGAGCUCGUGAUCUCGCUGUCGUCAGAGUCCUCACUGAAUUCAUGUCCUCACCAGCUCGCUCCAGACUUCAAUCGAAGGUCAUCAUCGUUCGUGCAUCCCCAAGAAAUCCCAAGCGUCGGGUGAAGACGAAGCUAGCCGGGUGAUAUUCACCAAGUGCUCGACAAAAGCUCGAACCAGUCGUCGAUUUCGUGGUUUCAAGUCGAAUGUCAUAAGGGUAAGUUAAUUCGUAUUCCAGUCAAUUAGGUCUAUAAAUAGAUUAAAUAGAAUUGUUGGUCGCAAUAAAUGUUAUUAAUUUAGCAUGCAUAUAUUGUGAUGAUCGAUUUAGAUAAAUAGGUAAAUCAAGUAAUUAAGAUACACAGUUAAAGAGUUAAUAAAAAGCUAGGAAUAAAAAUAGAUGUCCUAGUGUUAUUAUGUCAAUUUGGUUAGUGGAUGUAGUCGAUGCCCUGCUAUGAUAUCCAUGAUGCUUAAUGCUUGAUUUUAAGUGUUUCAUCCUUUCUAGUAUAGAUUAUCUAUAUUAUACUCAUUAUACUCGUGCUCAUACAUGUGCAUCAUGCAUCUCAUGAGGUACGAUAAUUAAUCACGUGAUGCGGAAGACGACCCAAGUCGACCCCAAGCGCGGGCUACUCCGCAUGGCGAUGCUAAUGGACGAACCUGCCUGAUCAAGUGCCAGGACAAGGAUGAUAGUCAAGUGGACGUCGCCUAACAAACACUAACCUAGUGUUAUUCAGGCAAGCCCCGGUGCAUUCGCCACCUCCUUGUGUUUUAAAAUCUUUAUCACCUUAUUUGAUGCAUUAGGUGAUAGGAGUUGUGUGCUAAACCGUUGAUGCAUUUCCUUCCUUGAAAAAUUGAUUACCCUUCCUUGAUACCCUUUUUGAAAAAGAAUUUUAUGAUGCUUAGCCUUGCUUUAGCAAACAAAAAUGUUUUGUUUUCAAACAAAAGUGAUGCUUCAGUGGGUGGGAAUGUUUUCAAAAAGAAAAACUUGUGAUGGUGGAUCCAUCAAGGCCUUAAUGGGUUCAACAUCGGAAAAGAUGUACCUCUGCCAGGUACCAGACUUUGGGUUGAAAUUAAUAAAGGUGAGACCGGGCGGUUGACUUGCACGAGAAAGGAGUCUCGGUGUAGUGUCUCCGUUUGAGUCGAUUAAGGACCGUGUCGAUGUGGGCUUGAUGAUCGAGGACCCUUUAACUGGUCACAUGCCUCAUCAUGGGUAAGCUUUACCUCGGGCAGACUAAUACCUGAAUAAGAUAACACGCAAUGGGAGUGGAGAGAUGGCGAGAGUAGCGUGUACCCUCCGUGGCAAGAGGCUGGACGGUGGUGUAUCUGUGCUUGUAAGUGCAAUCAACCCUAAUUUAGGGUUUUGGUGAUUAAUGACAAAACAAACUAAGAUUCUAACAAGUUUGCUCCUAGUGUGUACACAGUAUUUUUACAGACAGGAGAAGCACAGAUCCUACGAGCAUAAAAGUAUAAAGCACAGCGGAUUUAAAAUUCCACAUCAAAUGGCGUGCUCCAAGUGCUAUGAAUCGUCGGCGGUACUAAGUUUAUAAUUCUUGAGUCAUAGGAAUCGCCGUACAAUUAAGAGGGAUCCGCGACGGUUAAGUAAGUUAUGAAACGAGCCAAGUUCAAUUCUUUUGAAAACUCCUUGAGAUCAUCUUUUCCCAGAUCAUGAAUGCUCUUGAGAAAAACAAAUUUCACUUCCCACAAAGUCUCCACCUAAGUUCUCUUCAAAAUUCUCAAAGUUUGGUUUCAGCCCCCAAAACCGGUUCAACCGGUCCCCAAACCGGUUCAACCGGUUUUGGUACUGUUCAUCCUGCCACCUCUGCUCUGACCUGUCUGACAGUCAGAGCUGUCAGAAAAGUCGGAGCAGAUAUUUUUCUGAAACCGGUUGAGCCGAAUUUUGACCCUACUCAGCCGGUUUUGAAACCGGUCCAGUGUCCGGCUGAGUAGACCAGUGGACCGGGAUCCCCCUGGUAGAAACCGGUUCAACCGGUUUGGAAACCGGUUCAACCGGUUUUUGCCCUCUUUCUCCCAACGGCUGCCAGCUUUUGGGGGAUCCUUUAUAUACCCCCUCACACUCUCUCUCUCAUUUACUUCUGCCUCUCCCACGAAUCUUUGGCUGACCAACCCUCAAACAAGAGCAUUCACUUCACCUCUCACACCCGCAAUCUCAUCUCCUUCAAUCAUUUGAAGGACCCUUGGUGUGAGGUGAACUCGAUCGAACUCGCUUUCAAUUUCAUCUCGAUUCUCCCAUUCUCUUGUUCUUGAGCUCGUUGCAAACUUAACCGUGUGCGGAUUUGUUACUCUUGGAACCUCGUGUUCCUUGACGGUUAGAGGUUGCUUGGGAGUCUCCAAAUUUGUGGACGACCCCAAGAAGUUUGUAUCACCCGCUCCUUGAGCAGAUUUGAGAAGAGAUUGCCUUGACCUUUGUGGUCGGCUUGUGGAGGAUUAGGGUUGGAAAAGACCCGGCCCUUUGUGGGUUCCUCAACGAGGAGUAGGACACCUUUGUGGUGGUUGCCGAACCUCGGGUUAUAUCGCGUGUUCUUGUGUGUUCUUGUUAAACAUUUCAUAUUCGGUGGUUGGUUCAUAUUAUUCAUUCAAGUAGUUCUUGUGUAGGGCAAACCUUUAGCUAUUUUCUUUACUACUUCGAAUUUGUUCAAUAAAUUAUUAAAUUCAAGUUGAGUGGGUUCAAACUUGUUCAGUUGUGAUUAAAAUCGACUGAACCGGUUUGCACCCGUGCAACUUUAAUUUAACCUAUUUCGAAGUUUUUAGUGAAAAUUUUCAGGUGUAGCCUAUUCACCCCCCCCUCUAGGCUACUUUCAAUUGGUAUCAGAGCUUCGUGCCUCGUUUUACGCUUAACCGCGUGAGGAAACGAUCAUGUCUACACAACGGGACCAUGUGGAUCCUAUUCUCGAGGAAAUCCCCGUCACAUCUUCUGGUGAGGAAGUGGACCCCAAGGUCCUCGACCUCGCCAUGAAGAUUGCCGAGAAAAUGUUCCUCAAAAUGAAAGAGGAAGAUGCUAGGAAAAAGGCCGAAGAAGAGGAAACAAGAAGAAAGGCCGAAGAAGGUAAAGGUAAGGGAACAUUUGAUUAUAAUGACGAUCUAGUGGAUCUUUUGGUGUCUAAGGUAUUGAGCAAGGUAAGUCUCAACACCGAAGGAUCAUCUACCAAAAGCAAAGGUAAUGACUUUAGUAAAGUUCAAUUCGAUUACUCUAGAAAUUAUAUUCCCAACUUCUCUUCCGCCCCACUUGGAAAGUUACCAACUCUUAGUGAGUUGAACUAUGAUGAGUGGGCCGACAAGAUGAAGUCGCAUUUAAUCGGUGUGCAUCCUAGUCUUUGGGAGAUUGUUAAUGUAGGUAUGUAUAAGCCCGCCCAAGGAGAAGAGAUGACUCCGGAAAUGAUGCAAUAGGUUCAUCGAAAUGCUCAAGCAGUGAGCAUAAUCAAAGGAAGUCUUUGUCCGGAAGAAUACCGGAAAGUUCAAGGAAGAGAAGAUGCUCGUGACAUUUGGAACAUUCUUAGAAUGUCACAUGAAGGAGAUCCCAAAGCUAAAAGACAUAGAGUUGAAGCUUUGGAAAGUGAGCUUGCAAGGUAUGAUUGGACAAAGGGUGAGUCGCUCCAAUCACUCUUUGAUCGAUUGAUGGUAUUGGUCAACAAAAUAAGAGUACUUGGGAGUGAAGAUUGGAGUGACUCCAAGGUCACAAGAUUGUUCAUGAGAGCUUAUAAAGAGAAAGAUAAAAGUCUUGCAAGGAUGAUAAGGGAUCGUGAUGAUUAUGAGGAUAUGACGCCUCAUCAACUAUUUGCAAAAAUUCAACAACACGAGUCCGAGGAAGCCCCCAUCAAGACAAGAGACUCUCAUGCCUUGAUCACAAAUGAACAAGACAAUCUCAAGAAGAGCAAAGACCACAAAGCAAAGAAAGUGGUCGAGACCUCAAGUGAUGAAGAUAGCUCAAGUGAUGAAGACACAGCUAUGUUCAUCAAAACUUUCAAGAAAUUUGUAAGGAAGAAUGACAAGUUCCAAAGGAAAGGAAAGAAGAGGGCAUGCUAUGAAUGUGGCCAAACCGGUCAUUUCAUAGCGGAUUGUCCUAACAAGAAGGAACAAGAAGCCAAGAAGGAAUACAAGAAGGAUAAGUUUAAAAAAGGAGGCAAGACCAAGGGAUACUUCAAGAAGAAGAAGUAUGGACAAGCUCAUAUUGGUGAAGAAUGGAACUCCGAUGAUGAGAGUUCUAGCUCCGAGGAAGAGGAAGUGGUGGCAAAUGUGGCCAUCCAAUCUACCUCAAGCGCGCAACUCUUCACCAACCUUCAAGACGACUCCUACAUUCCAACUUGCCUCAUGGCAAAGGGAGAUAAGGUAACUUUGUUUAGUAAUGAUUUUUCAAAUGAUGAUGAUGAUGAUCAAAUUGCCAUGAAAAAUAAAAUGAUUAAAGAAUUUGGCUUAAAUGGAUACAAUGUUAUCACAAAAUUAAUGGAAAAGCUAGAUAAAAGAAAGGCAACUCUUGAUGCUCAAGAAGACUUGCUUAUCCUUGAAAAGGAAAGAAACCUAGAGCUUCAAGAGUUGAUUCACAAUAAAGAUAUAGAAGUAAUUAACUUGAAAACCUCUAUUGAUAACCUUGCAAAUGAAAAGAGUGCACUUGAAUCAAGCAUGUCAAGCUUGAAUGUUCAAAAUCAAGAACUUCAAGUGCAACUUGAAAGUUGCAAGAACAUCAAUGCCCCCACUUUAGUUUUUGAAUCUAAGUCUAGCUCUAAUGAUAAUUCUUGCAAGCAUUGUGCCAAAUAUCAUGCUUCUUGUUGUCUAACUAACCAUGCAAGGAAGCAAAGCCCACAGGUGAAGGUUAAAGAAAUUUUGAAAAGAUGCUCUAGCAAUGAUGGGUUAAAGAAAGUUGAACCCAAGUACAAGUCCCUUAAGCCCAACAAGGGUAGAAGGGGGCUUGGGUUCAACUCAUCCAAGGAAAACCCUAGCACAGUGCAUAAGGGGUGGAGAUCCCCCAAGUUCAUAGAGGGAACCACUCUAUAUGAUGCCUUGGGGAGGAUCCACUCCUCAAAUGACAAGUCAUCUCAGGUAAAGGUCAACUUGAGUUCCACAAAGAGUAAGAUGAAGGAAGUGGGAUCCUCAAGUGGACAAAAAUCUAAUGCUCCCAUUCCCCACUCAUAUCUUUGUGAUUAUAUGUUAACCUGGGAUUCAGGGAAAUUAGUUGUGAAAUAUGUGGGUGCCUACACUAAACAAAAAGCCAUGAAAAGAAGUGUGUGGGUACCCAAGGCUAUAACUAACACUGUAGGACCCAAUUCAAUUUGGGUACCUAAAAGUAUAGCCUAAACUUGUUUUGCAGGUCUACUCCUCUGGUGGGUCAAGUUGGGUGCUUGACAGUGGAUGUACAAAUCACAUGACCGGGGAGAAAGACAUGUUUCAUACAUUGCAACUAACUCAAGAAGCACAAGAAAUUGUGUUUGGAGAUAGUGGCAAGAGUAAGGUGAUUGGUAUUGGUAAAAUUCCUAUCUCUGACCAACAAUCACUUUCAAAUGUUUUAUUAGUAGAUUCCUUGAGCUAUAAUUUGUUGUCCGUUUCACAACUUUGUGGAAUGGGUUAUAAUUGCUUAUUUUCGGAUGUGGAUGUGAAAAUCCUUAGAAGGGAGGACUCCUCAGUUGCCUUUACAGGUCGCUUGAAGGGUAAGCUUUAUCUUGUUGAUUUCACAACAAGUAAAGUGACGCCUGAGACUUGUUUAGUGGCAAAAUCCGACAAGGGUUGGCUAUGGCAUCGCCGGCUAGCCCAUGUCGGUAUGAGGAAUUUGGCCAAACUUCAAAAGGAUAAUCACAUCAUUGGACUAACAAAUGUUGUAUUUGAGAAAGAUAGGGUUUGUGGCGCAUGCCAAGCAGGAAAGCAACAUGGAGUCCCACAUCAAUCAAAGAAUGUGGUCACAACAAAGAGGCCAUUGGAGCUUCUUCACAUGGACCUCUUCGGACCUGUGGCCUACAUUAGCAUUGGUGGUAGUAAGUAUGGUUUAGUUAUUGUUGAUGAUUUUUCUCGAUUCACUUGGGUUUUCUUUUUGAGUGACAAAGGUGAAACUCAAGAAAUCUUAAAGAAAUUCAUGAGGAGAGCUCAAAAUGAAUUUGAGCUCAAAAUCAAGAAAGUGAGAAGCGAUAAUGGGACGGAAUUCAAGAACACAGGUGUCGAAGAAUUCUUAGGAGAAGAGGGAAUCAAGCAUGAGUUCUCGGUGCCUUACACUCCACAACAAAAUGGUGUUGUGGAAAGAAAGAACCGGACUCUAAUUGAAGCUGCAAGAACCAUGUUGGAUGAAUACAAGACACCUGACAACUUCUGGGCAGAGGCGGUCAACACCGCCUGUCAUGCAAUCAACCGCCUCUAUCUUCAUAAGAUCUACAAAAAGACUGCCUAUGAGCUUCUCACUGGUAACAAACCUAAAGUUGAUUAUUUUAGAGUAUUCGGUUGUAAAUGUUUUAUUCUUAACAAGAAAGUCAAGAGCUCAAAGUUUGCUCCUAGAGUGGACGAGGGUUUCUUGCUUGGUUAUGCAUCAAAUGCGCAUGGAUAUCGUGUUUUCAACAAUUCCACCGGUCUUAUUGAAAUAGCGAUAGACGUGACAUUUGAUGAGUCUAAUGGCUCGCAAGGGCAUGUUUCUAAUGACACUGCAGGAAAUGAAAAACUACCUUGUGAGGCCAUAAAGAAACUUGCCAUAGGUGAGGUGAGACCUCAAGAAAGGAAUGAUGAAGAAGGAACCUUGUGGAUGACCAAUGAGGUAGUUGAUGUGGGUGCAAGGGUGGUGAGUGACAGUGUCUCCACCCAAGCAAACCCAUCAACCUCAAGUCAUCCAAACCACGAAGAAAAUCAUCAAAGGAUGCCAACAGUGGUAGAAGAUGAACAAGAAAAUAUUGAUGGUGAAGUGCCUCUUGAUCAAGUAACUGAUGAGGAAGAGCAAAUACAAAGGCAUCCAUCAGUGCCUCAUCCAAGAGUCCAUCAUUCAAUUCAAAGGGAUCAUCCGGUGGACAACAUCCUGGGUAGCAUCAGGAGAGGGGUAACGACUCGAUCUCGUUUAGCUAAUUUUUGUGAAUUUUACUCGUUUGUUUCCUCUCUUGAGCCACUUAAGGUUGAAGAAGCAUUGGGUGAUCCGGAUUGGAUAACUGCGAUGCAAGAGGAGUUGAACAACUUCACUAGGAAUGAAGUCUGGUCCUUAGUCCAAAGACCCAAACAAAAUGUGAUUGGGACUAAAUGGGUCUUUAGGAACAAGCAAGAUGAAAAUGGCGUUGUUACAAGAAACAAGGCAAGGUUGGUUGCCCAAGGCUAUACUCAAGUGGAAGGACUUGACUUUGGUGAAACAUAUGCGCCGGUAGCAAGGUUAGAAUCAAUUAGAAUAUUAAUUGCCUAUGCUACUAACCAUGAUUUCAAGCUAUAUCAAAUGGAUGUCAAGAGCGCUUUUCUAAAUGGACCACUACAAGAAAGAGUAUAUGUGGAGCAACCACCGGGCUUCGAAGACCCAAAGAAGCCAAAUCAUGUUUAUCUUCUUCACAAGGCACUCUACGGGCUUAAACAAGCCCCUAGAGCUUGGUAUGAUUGUCUUAAAGAUUUUCUAAUUAAAAAUAGGUUUACAAUAGGAAAAGCUGACUCUACUUUGUUUACUCGAAAAGUUGAUAAUGAAUUAUUUGUGUGCCAAAUAUAUGUUGAUGACAUUAUAUUUGGUAGUACUAAUGAAAAGUUUUGUGAAGAGUUUAGCAAAGUAAUGACGAACAGGUUUGAGAUGUCUAUGAUGGGCGAGCUUAAGUACUUCCUGGGAUUUCAAGUCAAACAACUCAAGGAAGGUACCUUUUUAUGCCAAACUAAAUAUACUCAAGAUAUGCUCAAGAAGUUUGGCAUGGAAAAAGCAAAGCACGCCAAGACUCCAAUGUCAUCAAAUGGACAUCUCGACCUAAAUGAGGAAGGUAAACCUGUAGAUCAAAAAUUAUAUAGAUCAAUGAUAGGAUCACUGCUUUACUUAUGUGCAUCUAGGCCUGAUAUUAUGUUGAGUGUUUGUAUGUGUGCACGAUUUCAAGCAAAUCCUAAAGACUGUCAUCUUGUAGCCGUUAAGAGAAUUCUAAGAUACUUAGUCCACACCCAAAACCUAGGAUUAUGGUAUCCUAAAGGCUCCUUUUUCGAUUUGCUUGGCUAUUCUGACUCAGAUUAUGCCGGUUGCAAAGUAGAUCGAAAAAGCACUACUGGGACUUGCCAAUUCCUUGGGCGGUCCUUAGUGUCAUGGAGUUCCAAGAAACAAAAUUGUGUUGCACUCUCCACUGCAGAAGCUGAAUACAUAGCAGCUGGGGCAUGUUGUGCACAGUUGUUAUGGAUGAAGCAAACCCUUAGAGAUUUUGGUUGUGAGUUUAACAAAAUCCCUCUUUUGUGUGACAAUGAGAGUGCCAUAAAACUUGCAAACAAUCCAGUGCAACACUCUAGAACUAAACAUAUUGACAUUAGACACCAUUUCUUGAGAGACCAUGAAGCCAAAGGAGAUAUCGAACUUUUUCAUGUGAGCACCGAAAAUCAACUAGCCGAUAUCUUCACAAAACCCCUUGAUGAGACUAGGUUUUGUUUUCUUAGGAGUGAGCUAAAUAUCUUGGAUUCUCGAAACGUGACUUAAUAACUAAAAUUUUGAUCAAAUUUGAUGAUUGAAAAUUGUUUGUUUGAGCAAUAUGAAUUGAGAAAUGUCAUUUUUAUCUUUAUAAUAUCUCAUGUCAUAUUUGCUAAGUGAUAUUACAGCUCUUCCGGGCAAUAUUUGAAAUCUGGUUGAGUAAACCGGCUGAGUAGGCCACUCAACCGGUUUCUUCCUGGUGGAAACCGGUUGAACCGGUCUAAAAACCGGUUGAACAGGUUUUGGCCGUCGCGACGUCAGUCCGCGCGCAGUCUGCGCUGACAGCUGCGCAGUCUGCGCUGUCAGUUUUGCAGUCUGUGCUGUCAGACUGCCAAGUUUUGCGCGCAGUCAACACUGUUUUCUGCGCGCUUUUACUGCGCCGUUUGACCCGAAACCGGUUGAACCGGUUUUGAAACCGGUUGAACCGGUUUGCGGCUUUCUGGCGGCCGACUCCUCCCCUUUUUAUACCUCUCCCUCUCUUCUCUUCCCUUCUCAGCCUUGUUUCCAGCCGCCGCCGCCACUCCUGUUUUUCCUCUCUCCUCUCCAAACUCUCUCGUGCUCUCACCCGUUUGGAAGUGUGGUUGGAGAUCCGUUCUUCCCGGCGUGUUUCCACCAUCUUCCUCCUUCUCGUUUGGAGAUCUUGACCCCCAUCUUCGGAUCGAGGUACUGUUCUAUGUUAUUUCCUUGUACUCGAUCCUACGCGUUCUUGAUUAUCUUAUGUAUCAUUCGUUGGGUACAUUUUGGUUUAAGUGAUUGCAACACUUAGGCUAUCUUCAUUUUGUCACAAACACUGUUUGAGAUUAGCGAUUUGAUAUUGUUCAUUGUAGUUGAACCGCUCAUAUGAACGGUUGAAGUGCAUGAUUCAAUCUCUUAUGCGUUUCUUCUCAAACGUGGUUGAUCCUUGCUCAUCAUAGGUUCUAUCUCUUAUUUCUUAGAAUGGUGCGACGAAGGAACCCAGCAGUGGUAGAAUCCGACUCUUCAGAUGAACAGGAGAUCCAUGGUGAUACCCCUCCUCGCUCUCGAUCCAAGCGAGGGCGCGGAUGUGGAAAUGUCAUGCUGGGUACUGAGGCCUCUGGGUCUCAAAGUGCUCGGGGUCGGACUUCCCGGACUCCCUCCGGUAGGUCUCGACCUGCCACGAAUCCGCAGGCAUGGGAGCCUGCAAGUGACGAUGACGGUGGGAAGGACGAUGAAGCUGAUCUUCCCCCGGCAUCGGCUCCUGUGAUUCGCGGCUUGGUGCUCCACCGGGCCGAAGCUCGGCGUGCUGGCAAUGAGCCAGUCACGGAUUUCACGGCCAGUGGAGGAUCUGCACUUCUCCAGGAUCUGCGUUUCCAAAAUCCGGUAUUGCGUAUUCGCGAUGCCAGGAUCGAUGGAAAUCGUUUCUGGACUCUUCACCAUGUUGAUUUCUAUAAUUCAGUUAUUCUACCCAAGAAGCAUCAGCCCAUCCUUCAUCAACGUUACAUUAACUGGGAGGGUUGCGAAGCAAUUGGAGACCCAGAGAUGUCACAGGCACUGAGGGCCUGUGAAAGGAAGCAAAUGAAGAACAUCAUGACAUUCCAAUAUGAUUGGAAUGAUGAAGUGAUUGCACAAUUUUAUUCCACUCUCUGGAUAAAGCUGGCUGAUGAGGAGAGCCAUUACAACUACCCCUACCUGAACUUCUUCAUUGAAGGUAGUUGGUACAAGGUGAGCUAUCGUAGAUUUGCUCACAUUCUUGGUUUUUCUGACGAGGACAUAUCUGGAGACAGGAUUAAGAUUCAUGAUUACCGUCAGCCCACAAGAGAUGAAGCCAAGGACCUUCAUUUGUCUGAGUCUGGAAAGUAUUGGGAGUCAACCAACAUUCACAAGUAUUAUCGCUAUAUCAACUCCCUCUGCAGGAUGACCCUCAUUCCAAAAGGGGGAAAUCAGAUGAACAUCCUUGGGGAGAGCAAGGUUUUGCUCUCUUUUAUGAAACCAAACAGCUCAGAAAGGAUUAAUGUCUUUGACAUGAUUUGGCAGGAGAUUAUUCAUGCAGCUUGCUUUCCUUUGAAGGGGUGUCUUCAUGCCCCAUUCAUUAUGAAGAUGAUUGAGGUCGUGACCCAAUUCAGAUUUGAGAAAGGCACCCGUCAUCAGUCAUACACUCCCUUCUGGAUUGAUCCCAACAAUCCAGCUGGGCGUCUCAGGAAAGCUCCCUCCAGUUCUCGUGGUCCUACAUCUGCUGGUCCGUCUGCCGGUGCUGGUGCUGCUGCUGCUGCUGGUGCCUCACGCCCUUCCCCUGGCCGCGGAUCUCCCACACCACGUGGUCGUGGUCGUGGUCGAGGUCGUGGACGUGGGAUGGGUGCCCGCCUGGCCCACGGAUUUGCGUCCUUCUUCUCUAUGUGCCGUAAUAUUGCUGCAGAUGUCCAUGAGGUGGCUCGACGUCAGCGGGAGACCGACGACAACCUUCGUCGUCAAGCUUCUGCUUUGGGUACUCCCUUCGCCCCUCGCUCUCCUGAUGUACCUCUUCACCCUCCUCCUCCAGAUGUGAAUGAGUGGUACCAGCAGGCGUAUGGGGUACCUUUCUCUUCAGCCGAUGACAUCGAAGAAGAAACUUAUGUUGAUGAUCCGGAGCAGUUUGACCCACCCCCAUAUCGCGGGGAUCCGGGUCAAUCGUCCUCUUACCCUCCGCCCCAGGACCCGUCUGGCAGUGCUCCUCCUCCGACCCAGUCUGGAGAGGAACAUUUUGCCUACGACCUGGCGCAACACCUCUUUGCUCCUCAUCAACCUCCUCCUCACUGGUGAUCCUUGACUUGACGCGUCUCUCUCUCUCUCUUUUUGGUUCUUGGUGCCAAAAAGGGGGAGAACGUUUACUAUUCAGUACUUUAUUUUUGUAAUGAACUCUUGGUCUGUAAUAACUCUAUUUGCUGCAUGCAUGGCUUGAGAGCCAUAAACACUUGAUGAUGGCUUGAGAGCCAUAAACACUUGAUGAUGUGUUGAGACGAGCUCUCACUAUUGUAAUAGCUGUAGACCUUUUUCAUAUCAUAUGCUAUGCAAUGAUGAGCUUGAAUGUGCUUUUACUUUUUAUAUUCAAUUAUGUUUCAUAUCUCAUCAUUUUUGUGUAUGGUGUCGAUUGUUCUCUCUCUCUAAAUAUGUUGCAAAUUGACAUAUCAAGUCAAUGUUAAUAUCGCAAAACUCAUGCACAUAUUUAGGGGGAGCUACAUAUACACAAAAGACUUUUAUCAAGUAUUUGUAACUUUUAAUUAUUAUUUCCAUUCUAGUUUGUUUUGGCAUCAAUCACCAAAAAGGGGGAGAUUGUAAGUGCAAUCAACCCUAAUUUAGGGUUUUGGUGAUUAAUGACAAAACAAACUAAGAUUCUAACAAGUUUGCUCCUAGUGUGUACACAGUAUUUUUACAGACAGGAGAAGCACAGAUCCUACGAGCAUAAAAGUAUAAAGCACAGCGGAUUUAAAAUUCCACAUCAAAUGGCGUGCUCCAAGUGCUAUGAAUCGUCGGCGGUACUAAGUUUAUAAUUCUUGAGUCAUAGGAAUCGCCGUACAAUUAAGAGGGAUCCGCGACGGUUAAGUAAGUUAUGAAACGAGCCAAGUUCAAUUCUUUUGAAAACUCCUUGAGAUCAUCUUUUCCCAGAUCAUGAAUGCUCUUGAGAAAAACAAAUUUCACUUCCCACAAAGUCUCCACCUAAGUUCUCUUCAAAAUUCUCAAAGUUUGGUUUCAGCCCCCAAAACCGGUUCAACCGGUCCCCAAACCGGUUCAACCGGUUUUGGUACUGUUCAUCCUGCCACCUCUGCUCUGACCUGUCUGACAGUCAGAGCUGUCAGAAAAGUCGGAGCAGAUAUUUUUCUGAAACCGGUUGAGCCGAAUUUUGACCCUACUCAGCCGGUUUUGAAACCGGUCCAGUGUCCGGCUGAGUAGACCAGUGGACCGGGAUCCCCCUGGUAGAAACCGGUUCAACCGGUUUGGAAACCGGUUCAACCGGUUUUUGCCCUCUUUCUCCCAACGACUGCCAGCUUUUGGGGGAUCCUUUAUAUACCCCCUCACACUCUCUCUCUCAUUUACUUCUGCCUCUCCCACGAAUCUUUGGCUGACCAACCCUCAAACAAGAGCAUUCACUUCACCUCUCACACCCGCAAUCUCAUCUCCUUCAAUCAUUUGAAGGACCCUUGGUGUGAGGUGAACUCGAUCGAACUCGCUUUCAAUUUCAUCUCGAUUCUCCCAUUCUCUUGUUCUUGAGCUCGUUGCAAACUUAACCGUGUGCGGAUUUGUUACUCUUGGAACCUCGUGUUCCUUGACGGUUAGAGGUUGCUUGGGAGUCUCCAAAUUUGUGGACGACCCCAAGAAGUUUGUAUCACCCGCUCCUUGAGCAGAUUUGAGAAGAGAUUGCCUUGACCUUUGUGGUCGGCUUGUGGAGGAUUAGGGUUGGAAAAGACCCGGCCCUUUGUGGGUUCCUCAACGAGGAGUAGGACACCUUUGUGGUGGUUGCCGAACCUCGGGUUAUAUCGCGUGUUCUUGUGUGUUCUUGUUAAACAUUUCAUAUUCGGUGGUUGGUUCAUAUUAUUCAUUCAAGUAGUUCUUGUGUAGGGCAAACCUUUAGCUAUUUUCUUUACUACUUCGAAUUUGUUCAAUAAAUUAUUAAAUUCAAGUUGAGUGGGUUCAAACUUGUUCAGUUGUGAUUAAAAUCGACUGAACCGGUUUGCACCCGUGCAACUUUAAUUUAACCUAUUUCGAAGUUUUUAGUGAAAAUUUUCAGGUGUAGCCUAUUCGCCCCCCCUCUAGGCUACUUUCAGUGCUCUCGGUUGGCGUGAACCUGAUCUGGUCUUAAGAACCCUGGUGGCGAGUUGACAUAUGCAAGGGUUAAGUGCUACAUAUGUCGUGUGAUUGGAGAUCCUCAGCUGAGUAUAAUCGAUUCGGAUCGUCGUAACUUUGCGGACAUGAAGACUUGGUCACUGCCCUACACGUAGCAUUCCAGUGAAUAAGAAGGGUUGUUAAGAAAUCGGCUAGUAUAAGCCAAGUGAUUGAACUAGGGUAGAAAGAACUCUAGAUGCAGUUAACUUUACUUAACCUGACAAUUAAAAAUGGAUGUUAAGGAUCCACUCAUCGUAAGCUUGUCUGCAAAACAGAGUCUUUGAUUCUUGAUAAUCCAUACCUUGAAUCCCUCUAGACAGCAUACCCUUGAGAUUCUUUUCUUUAGUCGGGUAAGUCUUGAUGAGUAAUUCUGUACUCAGGGUUUUAUUCCCUGUUGUUUUUCAGGUCAUAGUUUUGUGCUGCUGAUGAUGGUGUUAAGUGCCGGUGGGCUCGACCUUCUUAUAAGUCUAAGUAACCCUUCUAUACUUCUUAUUGAGGAUGGUCACUUGAGCUAGCAUAUAUUUCAAACUUAUACUUUUGUAACCACUCCUAUAAAAUAAUGUAAAAUUUUUGUAACUUGUAAAAUUUGGUAAUAAGAUUUCCGCUGCAAAAAUAUUGGUGUGUGUGAUUUGUGUUACUUAAUCUUGCGAUCCUGGUUGUAAGUGGUUUAUCCGGGGUCCUUGGGACACUCGGACGGAUCCUGUUAAGUUAUCUGGUGCACAUGCAUAGCUGUCUGAAGUCUUUGAGACAAGGAUAGGUGCAUGUGGGCCUAAUAACUUGGGAGGUUCUGCCACAAUAACUCUCUAACCAGUGUUCGGACCACCUCAAUCUCUAUAUAGGAUUUGUAGAGUGUAGAUCAAGGAAAAUAUCUUCUACAGUGACCAAGAUCCGAAUCCAACGGGAAAAUGCCAAAAACGUCUGUCCAAAGUCAUUAUUGUAGCACGUGCCACCUGCUAGAGCUGGCUGACAUGUCCAGAGCUCCUUCUCUAUAAAAGGCAGCCCACCCCUGUCCCUUCUCCCACACAUCUCUUCCUCCUCGGGCUCCUCUCCCAAGCCACACCCUACACCUCCUCCUCUCCACGAGCACCCCAUGGUCGGCUCUUCCUCAGCUCCCCAUCCAUGGCGGCUUGGCUCUAGCUCCCUCCGCAUCUCCCUCAUGAGCUCACCUAGCACCUUGGCCAAGGGCCCCCUGCAGCAGCCCCUUCUCCUUCUCUCCCACGCCAUCUCCCUCUUGCUCAAGGCACAUGGAGCCGCCCCAUGGUGCCUCCUUCAGAAGUGAGCAGCAGGCGCCGAGCUCCAAACUACCUGUCCGUGGCUGAUGUUCGUAAGGUAGAAGAUGAUCCCUGUGACAAUGACGUGUGGGUCCUAGGACUAGUUCAUGUGUACACAAAAUGACAAAUCUGUGCCCUCCCUUACAAAAUUCGUAUCUUUUGUUUGAUAGCUCAUAAAAUCGUGAAAUUUGUUUUGUUGGCUUCCUUAUGAAAUGGUCUACCUAGUAGAUCUAUAAGUUGGCAUGUUUUAGAGGAAAAUUUCUACUGUAGAAAUUCGUAUUUAAAACUAGUUUAGGAAAUAAAUGAACUUGCUUCUCUCCAUGGUUUUAAUUUUAAAAAUCCAAAAAUGAUGAGACUUAUUUUUUUAGUUAGAUGGUGUCAUACUAUAGCUAGAAAAAAUAUAAAACUCAUAUGUUGUUUACUGUUUUCAUGGUGUAUUAGUUAAAUCUUGUUAAAUAGAAAAAAGAUGAUUGUUUUGCUUGUUAUUUUUGGAUCUGUAGCUCCAUUGCUCGAAAUGUCUUUAUGCUUUGGCAGUAGACUUCAUGUAUGAUGCUUGGUCACUGGUAAAAAGUCCAUGAUUUAUGGUGCAUGUAUCAUUGAGUUAGUGAUUUAACUUGCUUGAUGCACAUUAAGUAGUUUUAAAUGGUUUAUAAAUAAUAUAUGUAUGUAAAAAUGAAAAAUGGUGUUCCACAGUCCUUGCAUGAUAUUAUAGUAGCCUAAGAAAACUUAAUAUGGUCAUGCAUUCACAUAAAAUAAUUAGUUUUAGAUUUAACUUGCUAUCACAUGCUUUAUUGCAUUAACAAUUUGUUAUUUUUGUAUUAAAUACAAUAUAAAACCUGAGCAUGUGAAAUUUAUACAGUAGUCAUAAUUUUUUAUUACCUAUUCCUCAUAAAAAUUCUAGCCCCAAAUAAGAUAGUCUCAUAUGGUGCUAAAAUAAUAUCCAUUGUAUAAUUAUAAGAAGAGUCAGUGAAGGAUUUUGUAAGCAAACAUGCAUGUCUCUUGGAAUGUUUGAAUUAUACCUUAGUACAAAUUAGAGAUUAAAUGGUUGUGUCAUGAUAGUUUAGAGCAAAGUAUUAGUGGUGCUUCAUCAUAAUUUUGUGUAAUAUCGGACAUGUGUGCCGAAGUUCAUUAUUUUGGUGGAUGUGUUAAGUUCGAUCAAGUGUUUUGAAUGCAUGCUAUGAUAUGGUUGUAUUUGAAACUGAGAAGUAUAGGUAUUGCUCGAUAAUAAGGUUUGGUCAGUGUGGUUAGAAAUUGAUUUGGCUUGUAUAGAGAAGUGUCGACAUGUCGAAGUAGUCAUCGCUUCCUCUAUGCUCGUAAGUCGGAUCAAUGCAUGUUAUAUGUUCGUUGAAUUACGCUUCGCAUAUAGUGUAUGGUUGUAUUCGUAGAAGUAAAGUAGACACAUCGACCUUGAUUGGUGGAGCCCAGGUGAGAUGCAAGGUUACAUGGGAAAUGGAUUUAGAAUUCUUUCGACUAGUUAACAAGUUGGUUAGAGUUGUUGUGUUACCUUGGAUUGUGUGGCGAAGUGAUGGCAUGACUACGUAGCCACCAUGUCAUCUAUUGUGUGACCAUGCUUAAGUGUAACUCGAUAUAAAUUGCAAGUCGAUAAGUAAGUCAUGAUAAAUUAAACUGAGAAUUGGUGGUAGUAUCCCUCCAUGAUUUUGAUUGAUGAUUGAGUUGAGUGCUCUUGUGCUAGCAAACUGAAAUUCCUGCAUGUACAGUUUUGGUUGUGCGAGUAAUCUAGUAAAGUAAAGUAUGUUUUCUGUAGAUAUGUGCUAUAUAAAAGUUGUAGUUCACUUGUUUAUCUAGCUCGUCCUAAAAAUUCAUGAGCUAAGAAAUGAUGGUUUAGAAGUUAUGUUUUUCACAAGUUUAGUGACUGAAUCUGUCCAAUUUCUGUACAGAUUUCAGAGAUUGCAAUGGUUGUUUAAGUAAAUUUUAAAAUCGGUUUUUGAUGAUUUUAAGAAAGCUGUAGAUAACUUUCUUAUCUUGCUUUUGUUAAAAUUUCAUUACUAUAGGCCUGAUAGUUUAAGAGUUAUGAAUUUUACAAUAUGAUUGUUGUGUUUUGUCCACUGUCUGGACAUAUUUUGAAAACUCUAUUGUUUGAUUUGGUUAAACAUAGAAUCAUGUCACACCUGGUUUUAGAAGGUAAACCGAAUGCGAACCAUGUACGUGCCAGGAUUAGCAAUUCAUGUACACAACAGUUACAUAACUAGACAUCAUCACAAAGUGCUCAAAUAAUGACAUAAAAGAGGGUAUAAUAGUCAAUUACAUCAUGAUGUCCAAGACAUCCACAUAGUCUUUAACAAUAAUCAAAGUGCGGAAAAGAAACGUAGAUACACACGGCCUACACAGGCAGCCGACUGGGGGUUUACCGCUAACCCACGCCUAGAACUCAUCGUACUCUUGGAACUCCUGGAAGUCCUCCUCCACGACCUCAUCUUCACCUGAGCAGUGGUUGCAACGCUGACAACCUGGGGGGUUUGGUGUGUAAAGCAAGGGUGAGUACACAUCAACAUACUCAGCAAAAUGUCCCGUUUGGCUAUAGUGGACUAGCUUUAUGUGGAGUUAAGUCAAGCAGUUGCUUUUAGUUGGUCAGGUUAUUAUUUACUAGUAGAAAGCCAGGUUUUAGCAUUAACCCAAGUUAUUAACCCGAUGUAUCCUUUUCAAACGGAAAGAAUAUCACUUACCAGUACCAUAAGCAUAACCAAACUCAUCAUCCUCAUCACCACCUAUAAACCAUACAUCUCUGAUCAAGUAUCUCUAAUCAAUGGAGCUCCCUUGGACGCUCAUAACCGCGAGCACGGCUGAUAUAUCAGUUUCAUAAUACUCUGCAGAGGUUGCGCACUUUACCCACAAGCUGUGAUUCCCUCUUGCCUCGGGCCGAUCAAACCCUUAAACACUACCAAAGUGAACAGGCAGGGUCUCACUACGUAGCCUUUACAAAGAUUUUCUAGGGCUGUAGCCACCCGUUGGGUUUCCUAAAUGCACCGAACUCCUCCCCAAGGGGGCGAACCAACCUUGGCAGAGCGAGCCGCAUACACCGAGCCCCAUUAACGGAACGACGGCGAAGCGAACUACACCCCAGUUCCUCUAAUUACUCAACUAAGGGCGUCCCACUCCACCCUCAUGGUUGCACUGUUUUCCCGAGCGGUCAUCCAACGAACAGGUCCUUACGGAGAGGCACUCAAGAAAUAGCUCGAGUUCCCUUAAGGGCCACAAGUACCAUUAUCAUAAUCAAAAGGGAAAACAACGUAUCAUAGAUAUCUCAUCAUGUUCAUUGAUUAAUGUGAAGCACUAGCAUAAAGCUAAACUGAAAUAACCCAACCAGAAUAGGUAAACAAGGACAAGAUAGACAGAAGCUAGUCAAUCCUUAGGUAUAAACGGUGUAAAUGCGGGAGGUGAAUUAAUGAAUGUAUAGGACAUAAGUGGGUCAAGGGACACUUGCCUUCACCAACCAGCUGCUGCUCAGGGUCUUCACCUGCAACUCCUUCGGACUCCACCAACUGACCGUUCUCUAUACGAGUUCAAACAUACAUUCCACACAUUUAAUACAAAAGAACAGUACAUCAUACAAUAGAAUGCAAUAAUUAAACAGACGUUCGACGCAGCGCUCACACCUACGACUAAGUGAGAAAGAGAAAGUAACGGUCGAGAAGCGAUCACGUUACACAAUUAUAAAUUAAACUACUCGUUUAAAUAGAAUGGUAUUGUUGGGGGCCUUCGUCCUCCGAAGGUCCUCAAAAACAUGAUUUGACAAUGUUUUCCAAGUGAAUUAUAUGAACAGGUAUUUUCGGAUUCAGAAUUAUGGAUAUGGAGCACGACCAGGACGAAGGCUGAGCCAGACGAAGGUCGGGGGCAGCCGAAGCUGUACGCAGGGAAGCUUCGGCGCGAUGGCACAAGGGGGAACCGACCUUAAGACGAAAAGACUUCGGGGUCCUCAAUAGAUUUCCAUAAACCGUUAACAAAUGUAAUGGACAUGGAUGUAAUUUUACGUGGGCUGCGUCCCGCGUCUAUAAAUAGAUGAACAGUACUCCCGUACUGUUCACGCGAACUUGUCAUUUUGCUUUUGGCGUCACGCUCGUACUUUCCAUCUUCUCUCAGGAUCGAAGGUACAUUUGUAAUUUGGAAUCAUUUCUGUUUUUCCAUGUUAAUAAAAUAGAAAUGAUUCUUUGGUGAUGCUUAUAUCAUAUUUCAUGCUUUAUGUGAGUCCUUCGUCAUUAUGUGUUAUGAUUACGAAGGUAUGUUUCUCAUGACCUUCGUCCGAGACUCAUUAUUUCCCAAAGGGAUAUAACGCUUCGAAGGACGAAGGACCCUAACACUUAACACUUUUUAUGUUGCCUUGUUCUUAACUCUUAGAAUUUGAGAACAAGUCCCCAACAUUGGCGCCCACCUCCGGUGAACUCACUUCCACUUCGAGUCUUCGUGAACACCUUCGGAAGCUAUAGACCUUCGCUAUGGCGCCGAAGAAAGCUUCAGCGGCUGGGGCUGCAGCACUACAACCGCUGGACCACAACCAGGAGACCGUCUCUCUUCGGGAGGCCAGAAGCCAGAAGAGAAAAGCUGUUAGCCCGACGCUUGAGGAAGAAGAGCUGGACCAAGAAAUCAGAGAGAUGGAGAUGCUACAUCAACAAGUACAGAGGAAGAAGGAGAAGAUGGCCCGCCUAGCUGAGUUGCAAAGGCAAAUUGACGAAGCUUCUGAGGAAGUUCGCCAUCUUACUCACGAUGAGCAGAACAGAAGGCCUCAUCAGAAAGACCUUCAUCAGGAGGGCUUCGUCAACGAAGACGACUGGUAUGAUAAUUUCCAUCAGGGAAAUUUUGUUUUUGAUGAUGCUUCUCCUCUAUCUGCUGAGCUGCAGGCUACUCCUUGGCCUCCAUCCUAUAAGCCACCCCAGCUCCCCAUGUUUGACGGCCACUCCGACCCGAAGCAAUUCUUGAUGAGCUACGAAGCAACAGUGUCUUCGUACGGGGGCAACGCUGCAGUCAUGGCGAAGUCUUUCGUCAUGGCCGUCAGGAAUGUUGCUCAGACCUGGUAUUCCUCCCUUCGGCCAGGAACAAUCACUUCAUGGCAGAAGCUGAAGGAUAUGUUACUGACCAGCUUUCAAGGAUUUCAAACGAAGCCGGUUACAGCUCAAGCCCUCUUCCAGUGUAUUCAGGAUCACGAAGAAUACCUUCAGGCUUAUGUCCGAAGGUUCUUACGAUUGAGGGCGCAGGCACCAACGGUGCCCAAUGAAAUCGUUGUCGAAGCCAUGAUCAAGGGGCUUCGUCCUGGACCUGCAGCUCAAUACUUUGCUCGGAAGCCUCCUCAGACCUUGGAGAAAUUGCUCCAAAAGAUGGAUGAGUACAUUCGUGCCGACAAUGACUUUCGCCAAAGAAGGGAGGAGGCCUUCAGAUUUUCUGAGAUGACCAGGGGCUUCGGAGGAAGAUAUUACCCGAGGCAUGUCCGUUCCAUUCACAGCACUCAGAAUGAUGAUAAGGGGAGUCAGCAAAACAGGCCGCAGUGCUCCUCACAGGCUUCGGGGCAACAACAAACUUCCUUUCGGCCACCAGCUCCAAGAGGCAGAGGCGCCAGGGGCUUCGGCGGAAGAUUCGGAGAUCAGCCAAGGAGACUGUUUUGCCUAUUCUGUGGAGAGGGCAAGGGCCACACCACUAGGACGUGCCAUGUUACAAUCCAGAAGCAAAAGGAACUAGCCGAAGCUGCAUCUCAACAAGCUCAGUCGAAGCAGGUUUUGCAUACUGCUUCGUUUCAUCCGCCUUAUGUCCCACAAUACAUAGACAACCACCCUGCGGCUUCUGUAGCUUCGGCAAGUCAACCUCAAGCUUCCUGGCAGCAGCCUCCACCUCCACCUCCAUUGCAGCAAGGUCAACAGCCAGAAGGGAGUCAAUACGCUCCACAGCAGAGGGACUUCAGAGAACAGUCUGAAGCUCGCACAGUCAACAGCACUGUGCCAGAGUCGAAGCACAUUUAUUGACAUAUCCUACCUUUGAUAGCAGUCUUUUCUAUUCAGUUUUAUUUUCUGUGAAGCAAAAAACAUUGUUAGUUUCCAUGUAAUAAUUUCGUUGUUUCCACGAGAAAAAUUUAUUUGAUUCACAGGCCUAAGUUGUCGAAGCCUAAAAUUUCUUCCGUUACCAAGAAGGACCUUCGGACUAAAAAUCCUUCGGAGUAACAAAAAGUCGUUCUAAGGAACGCAGAGUAAGUUUAUAAAGUCACAAAAAGUCGUUCCAAAGGGAGCGCAGCGUAAGUUUUCUGCUCAGAAGUCGUUCCUAAAGGAAUGCAGAGCCUACAACGAAAAGUCAACGCUGAUACCGUCUAAGUAAAAGACGAAGAAGCUCCUAAGGGAGGCUUACAGCGAAAAGUCAACGCUGAUGCCGUCUAAGUAAAAGACGAAGAAGCUCCAAAGACGUUCCUAAGGGAAUGCAGAGCUUACGAAUAUAUUUUAUGUGUAUCUUCGGAACAAAUGUCACAUGCAUAACAUAACAUCAUCACAUCAUUUUGCAUAGCAUAAGCAUCAUACAUCAUAUCGCAUUUGGCAAGAGAAGGGGACACUCUAAACCUUCGAAGGGAUGCUUUGAAAAAGUAACAUUGAAAUUGUAUAGCUUCGGAAUACAGUUUUGGGGAAUAUUUUCACGAAGCAUGGGCGAGCUUUAUCAGAUCAAUAUCAAAAUUGCAUAGCUUCGGAAAAUAGCUUCGGAAAAUGUUUUCACGAGGCAUCGAUGUCAUUCAUCAGAACAAUUUUGACGAAGGCUAUCUUCUUCACGACGCAUGAAAAGAAGGGAAGGUGUUUUUUCGCCGAAGGCUCAAAAGUGGUAUGUAUUUAAAGUUUCAUGCAUCGUAAAGAAUUCAAUAAUGAAAAGAGACUUGUAUAUUACAUUCAAAUCUACAAAGUGUUGCAUAGAUUACACUUUAAAUGUUUUUUGCAAAUAGCACCUAAUCUUCCCUCAAUACUGCUUCGGCGGCUUUAUUCAGAAGUUGGUCAACGACCUUGUUCAUGAUAGUUUCGGCCAUCUGAUUAAUUUCUUCAUCCCCUUUUGUGUGGGGAGAUCGUCCAACAGCUUCUGAGCGUAGAGAACACUUCUUCAGUACUUUUGCAAAUCACGAGCAAAGUUUAAAAUGAAAAUUACAGCGCAACAAGAACGACUAGUUGGUACCUAACUGUCCUUCGGGCUCCCUACUCUUUUCGGCAGUCUCUGCCACUUUCCUAGCUUCGUGGAUGCCUUUUUCGCUCCUUUCGAUAAUUUCUUGUGCCAUUCCUCGGCCGCCGUCGUUCCAGAUAUCAGUAAAAAAUUUGCCAGCAACCACGCUUGCUUCGGCCGAGGGGUCCUUGAUAUCUUCGGAGCAUAAGGUAGCUUCGGACUGAGCUAAAAGUUUUACGUGCCCGCAACCCUUCUUCUCUAACACAGAAGUAAUUCCUCUAGCGCCUGAAAAAGCGCAUAUGUCGCCGCGGCUGUUUAGAAUUUCUUCGAAGGCCUCUGCUUCGUGGCGAAUCCAUUCCAGCGGAUCUUCGGGAUUGCCUUGAGAAAAAUUCUCUUCGCUGGAAAAGGCGCCGACGCUAGCAAAGCUGUUUUUAAUUUUAUUCACGCAUUCUAUAGAUUUAACAUAGCAUUUCCUCUGCGAUGUGCGAAGCUCCUUAACUCUUGAUUCCAAUUUGUUGACCAUAAAAUCACUAAGUUCACGAUUCGUUUCCUCAAGCGCGCGCUCCUCUUUCGCUCUAGCCAGUUGUUUCCGAAGAUCUUCAAUCUCGCGUUUUUGAGCUUCGGAUUGGGCCUUUGAAGCGGCCUCGUCUUUUUUCACUUUAUCCACCAAUGUAAGCAGAAUUUUAUCUUUUUCCAAAGCUUCAUUUCUCAGCUUGAUAACUUCGGAGCGUAAAUUAUUAAACGCAAUUUCAUAACUUUCAUCUUCGGCGCUCUUCUGCGCUCUUAGCGCGUUGCUUAGGAUCAGGCCCUAUACGAAAAAGAAUUCAAAUAAGGAAAAAGGAAUGAUGUGCGUAAAAAUAAUGGGGGGGUUUUUUCAAGCGUUCAAUUCCGGUACCUUCAAGCUGUUGUACGCAAGGCUGUCUGCGAGAUCCUCUUUCGUCAUGGCGCUUAGUCCAACUUCGAGCUUCGGGAAGCCUAUGCCCCUGGCCAUUUCUCGACAGACAGAUAGUUCCUUAUUAUCCGGUAGGCAGUAUAAAAAAUCAUCUUCAUUUGUCCCAUUGAAUAUUAUUGCCCCCUUUGGAUAUUUUAGCUCCUUUGCAUAAUGAUUAGCUUCAUGAAUUUCUCCGUCAGAUAGCUUUUUCCCCGAAGCAUGUCGAAUAAUGUAAUCACACAUGCUGGCAGGCGCUUCGGGGAUGGCAGUGUCAGUCUCUUCAAUUAAAAUUGGUUCUGGUAUUUUUAUCGCUUCGGUUUCCAAAGUUUCUUCCCUGAAGGGCUCUGAAGGCCCAGCUUCAGCUUCAGUUUGUUGUGUCGGAGCUUCAGAGGAAGCUUCAGCAAUUUCAACACUCUUUUUUGGAGUUGUGCUUGAAGACUUAAUUGUCUCCAAGACAUCUAGUACAUUUACCAUUCUUUUCCUUUUUGGGGUCACCAUUGGAGCCUUUUGGAUUUUUGCUGCUUCAAUAUUUAUUGCAGGACUUAAAGUUUCUGAGGUUUUUUCCUUAGUCAGAUUUUUCGCUUCUUCCAUUUUUUCUGUCGAUGGUGCUUCGGUCAUCUCUGCAAUUUCUGGCAAUAAGAGUGGCUGUUCAGCUUCAGCGGCCGAAGGAGUUCCUCCAGUAUACUCAGGCACCGAAGCUGGUUCAAUAUGGCGUGGUCGGUGUGUGAAGACCUUCAACCUUUUUCCUUUUGGGUCUAGCUCGCUAGGAGCAGUUCCAGCUUCUUCUUUUUCAGAUGUUAUGUUUUUCCUUUUUUGCCUUCGGACGGGAUAACAAUAAUCAGGGUAGAAGAACCCGAUUGCAUCAAACACUCGGUUCAAUCUCUUCUUUUUUCGGCCUCCGAAGGCUGCUGAUAGUGCAGUAUUUUCAGCCUUCGAGAAUGCCCCAAGUAAUUCAUCACUUAAUGUUUCAAUGCUUUUCAGCCAGUCAUCAUCAGGUUCAAUAAAUUUAUCUGCAUAUUUGAAUGUGUAUUUUAAUCUGACUAGUCCGCUUUCGUCGGACUCUUUGAUGGUUUCUUUCGGCAUUUCCCACUUUUCCGCAAGUGGCCAUAUCCUGAAGGCAAUAUGCUCCUGGACCAAGUCCCUUGUCCCAAUGAAGGAGCAGACUGCGCCGAAGGCUCUUUGGCAUUCUUCGGCUGCCUCAUCCAUUUCAACCUUCGGCCUUCGAAGUCCGAAGCGUUGCCAAAUUGGGUACAUAAUGAUACUUUUGACAUUAUUUUGCGCUGUUAGGUCAUUUUUCACAUAAAACCAUUCAGACAUCCAGGCUCCGGGCCACCUCUUCCGAAAGGUUGGCACAGGGUAGCUUGACCCGGAGCGGGCGCCGAAGCUGUAGCACCCAAAGUUGUUGUGGUAUUGCUCCUUUCCCCAGGGCUUCGUCUCGUACAAUAACUCGUGUAUGUUGCAGAAGCUUUUAGCGUUUGGUUCCAAACCUUGGCUUCUCACAGCCCAGACAAAAAUCCCCAUUCUUAUAAUAGCUUCGGGAGUGAGUUGAUGAAGGUAGAUUUGGAAUGUUUUCAGUACCUCAACAACAAAAUUGCUCAGGGGGAAUCGAAGCCCAGCCUUGAGGAGACUUCGGAAAAUCACAACUUCAUCUUCUUCAGGGGUGGGAGAAGUCUUUUCCCCGGCAUCAGCUCUCACAAUAGAUAUGUCUCGGAAGUAUCGCCCCCUCAUAUUAUCAAUGUGACUCUGCUUGAUGGUUGUUUUCCCAAAAACUGAGUGACUUGGUCGCCACGGUCGAUCUUCGGCCUCUUCCCCAUCACUUUCCACAUCAUAGCUAUCGCUGUCAUUAGUAUCUUCGGACAAACCUUCGAGAAUCUCCUUCGUGAUUUUCUCUGUAUUAGUCUCUGCCAUCGCUAUCAGGAACCCCAGAUUCUUCUCCUCCUCGAGACUCAGCUUCGUCUCAGCAGGGAUCUUCUUGUCUUCAGACAUCUUCGGAAACACUAAAAAUUUGUUCCCGAGGCCGAAGCUUCGAAAUCAAAAAGACCAGCAAAUCUCAAUGAGCAAGAGCUAAAAAUUUUUUAGUGGGCCGAAGCAAAAGGCAGGCGUGUGUACCAAAUGAAUUCACGGUGUGUUCUUAUUUAUACGCCUAGGGCGUUAAAAGUUAAAAGGCCCCGCUUGUCAGUGAAUGUUGCUAUUCUAGCAAAGGGAAGGUGUUUUUUCGGACCUUCGGCUCAAGGCCUUCGUCCAUAUCGCAAUCUGAAUUUAUUAUUUACAAAUUAAUAUUGCGAGGGGCUACUGUUGGGGGCCUUCGUCCUCCGAAGGUCCUCAAAAACAUGAUUUGACAAUGUUUUCCAAGUGAAUUAUAUGAACAGGUAUUUUCGGAUUCAGAAUUAUGGAUAUGGAGCACGACCAGGACGAAGGCUGAGCCAGACGAAGGUCGGGGGCAGCCGAAGCUGUACGCAGGGAAGCUUCGGCGCGAUGGCACAAGGGGGAACCGACCUUAAGACGAAAAGACUUCGGGGUCCUCAAUAGAUUUCCAUAAACCGUUAACAAAUGUAAUGGACAUGGAUGUAAUUUUACGUGGGCUGCGUCCCGCGUCUAUAAAUAGAUGAACAGUACUCCCGUACUGUUCACGCGAACUUGUCAUUUUGCUUUUGGCGUCACGCUCGUACUUUCCAUCUUCUCUCAGGAUCGAAGGUACAUUUGUAAUUUGGAAUCAUUUCUGUUUUUCCAUGUUAAUAAAAUAGAAAUGAUUCUUUGGUGAUGCUUAUAUCAUAUUUCAUGCUUUAUGUGAGUCCUUCGUCAUUAUGUGUUAUGAUUACGAAGGUAUGUUUCUCAUGACCUUCGUCCGAGACUCAUUAUUUCCCAAAGGGAUAUAACGCUUCGAAGGACGAAGGACCCUAACACUUAACACUUUUUAUGUUGCCUUGUUCUUAACUCUUAGAAUUUGAGAACAAGUCCCCAACAGGUAUUAAUUUGGCCAUUGCGUUUAGCAUAAGAUAAAGUUAUGUUCCAUAUUUAAUCAUUAUAAGCAGAUAAAGGUGAAUUAAAGGAAAUGGUCGCGCGGUGAGACGCGCGACACAACAUUUAAAUUGAAUUAAGAAAUAAGCGAUUCGUCGCGCGACAGAGCGCGCAACGCGACACUUGCAAUAAUUUUAAAGAGAUGUUAGGCGUCGCGUGAUGAAACGCACGAUGGCAUACGUCAACUGAACUGAAUUUAAAAUGAAAUAUCGCGCGACGAAGCGCGCGACACAGAUCAUUAACAAAGAUGAACUUAAAUUGAAUCGUCGCGCGACGAAGCGCGCGACACAGCACAUCGACUAAACUAAAAUUGAAAAAGGGAUAAAGCUGAAAGUCGAACGUCGAGCAACUACAGUUGCGUGCGCGCGAACACGCUGCGCGCGUGCCAGGGGCACGCGAGGCCACGUCGGGGCAUGCGACAGGGCCGCUAGGGCGCACGACUGUCGGGACGUGCGGCGCGGGGGCGCGCGGGAUGCGGCACGGGGGCCGAGCGCGCGGAACGCGGACGCCGGGGCACGGGGCCGAGCCGCAGGGGGCGCGCGGGGCCGCGGGGCGAGCGGGGCCACCGGGGGACGCGCGGGCGCGGGGCCACAGGCGAGCAGGGCCGCCGGGGGCGCGGAGGGUCGUGGGGCGAGCUGCCGUCGCCGGGGCGAUGAUUGAGUUGAGUGCUCUUGUGCUAGCAAACUGAAAUUCCUGUAUGUACAGUUUUGGUUGUGCAAGUAAUCUAGUAAAGUAAAGUAUGUUUUCUGUAGAUAUCUGCUAUACAAAAGUUGUAGUUCACUUGUUUAUCUAGCUCAUCCUAAAAAUUCAUGAGCUAAGAAAUGAUAGUUUAGAAGUUAUGCUUUUCACAAGUUCAGUGACUGAAUAUGUCCAAUUUAUGUACAGAUUUUAGAGAUUGCAAUGGUUGUUUAAGUAAAUUUUAAAAUCAGUUUUUGAUGAUUUUAAGAAAGCUGUAGAUAAUUUUUUUAUCUUUCUUUUGUUAAAAUUUCAUUACUAUAGGCCUGAUAGUUUAAGAGUUAUGAAUUUUACAAUAUGAUUGUUGUGUUCUGUCCACUGUCUAGACAGAUUUUGAAAACUCUAUUGUUUGAUUUGGUUAAACAUAGAAUCACUUCUUGGUGAUUAUAAAAGUUAUGUAGUGCUUUUGCUAAGCUUUCCAAGUCUUGGAUCACUCUUUUUGGUGGUAUGAAGGUUAAGUUAUAGGCGUUUGAAGUGUGAAGUCUGAAUCUGUCCAAAUCUGGACAGCAAAGCCGUCUAAUGUCUUUUAUCCUUAGUUACAUAUUGAAUCACCUUGAGAUGUUUAUAAUUGUUUUGUUGGUAAUUUCAUUAUCUUUCUAGAAAAUUUGGGAUCACCUGAUUUGGGUGCAUGAAUGCCUAGUUAGGAAAUUUUGUAUUCAGAGGUCUGAAUCUGUACAAAUCUGGAUAGCGCUGUCGUGUUAGCACUUUUUGAUCUUGCUAAGUGUUGAAUCUUGUUGAGAUAAAAAUACCAAAGUUGUAGAGCACUUUUUAAGCUUUCUAGAAAGUCAUAGUUUGGUAUUUCUGAAUUAAUAUCUGGAGAGUUAUGAUUAAAACAAGUGACUGGUGUGCUGCUGUCCAAAAAUCUGCAAGUGCUCAUUUGAUUGUUUAGUUCACCCUUUUAGCUAAAAAUGUUUGGUUAGCACUUAAUUAAUAUAGACUUGCCAUGGCUAAGCUUAAGAUAGCAAGUGUGUCAUGUUUUAUAAGUUGCUUUCACUAGUUGAUUGUGAUAUAGGAGUUCCAUAGACAUUUAUGCCUAUGUCCUCUGUUAAACUUGUGUUGUCUAUGAUACUUUUGUGUAAUCAAUAGAAGAACUAAUAAAAAGCCGUAGCAAAUCAAAUAAAUGCUUGUACUCGUGAUGUCGAGUUUGUGGUGGUUAUGUAUAUGAUAGUCUUCGUUGGUUUCUUAGUAGUGUUAAAUUCGUAGGUCGAUGGCGUAUGGCUAGUUAGUACCUAUGUAUGGUCGUUGGUGGUACCGUGUUUUGCUCCUAAUAUCUAGCUCGAUACCGUGUACCUUGGAGUGUCUUGUGCUAUUUUCCAUCCUGUUCAUACAUAUGCCUCUUGCAUCUCAUUUAGGACCGAGAGAUGCUGAUCACGCGAAAUGAAGAACGUAAAGUGGAGCCGACCACAAGGCAAAGUUGAUGGAUGACCCGAAGAAGGAUGGAAUUAACCAGUGGAUGCUCACCAAGCGAGUAUCGUCUAUCAAACACUAUCUAGUGUGGAUUCCAGGCAAGCCCCGGUUUUAUGCAUAACCGUUUAUAUAUGCUAUUUUACCUGCACUUAAUGUUUGUAGGCUUGUACCGUGAACUUAAGUGUAGGAAUUCCCUAAAACCCUAGUUGCAUAAACUCAGGAUUCCUUUCUGAGAUGGAUACUAGUAUGCUAGGUCGAGUAGCUACUUUGCUAAUUAGGGAUCUCGGUAGAAGUCGAGUGAUUUUUCUAGCACUCGCGCGAGGUCAGGAAUUGGUUGUAUCCAUUUUGAUAACGAAAUGAUGAUGGUCUGUGGACACGGAUCCAUGGGGAUACGCUGUCUAUCAGACGAAAUUGUAAUAAGGAUUAACGUGCGAAUACCUAUGUCAAGCGUUUGAACAUACUAAACACAUGUCGAGAAAUAUGGUAACCGAUAAGCCUAGUACCUGAUUGAACCUAUCCGUAGCCUUUAUCCCUCAUUGGACCUGAGACGGAGUCUCCCAUGCCGGAUUAUGGUGGGUACAAGUGUGGUCACUGCACGGCGGCAACCGGGGCAGUGGAGCAUUGUAUGCCAAGGCCGUGAGCCCUAUUAUGUUGCUAGGGGAUCGAUGGGGACGGUUGACGUGUGUGGGGACGGAGUGCCCUGACAUGUCGUGUGUUUAGGUUUACCUUGCAAGGUUAAAACUCGAUUCGAAUCGUCUGCUUCUUGCAGCUAAUGAGACUCCUUCAUCCAUUGUACUGCAUUGAUUAAAAAGUGGAAAUCAGGUUACUUUCAAAAGGAUGUUGACUGACAUAAUUCUUGAUACCAUGUAUGGAUAGUUAGGUGCUCAUCUAGUCUAAAAAUAUUAUUCUAGAACUUGAAAAGCUAAAACUUGUUUUAGACUCAGCUAGUGCUUUUGGCAAACCAAACCCCUCAGCCAACAGGUUCAUGGUCUAGAGGUAUAGGAGUAGACUUCUCACAUCGGGUAAGUCUAGUUGAGUAUUAGUAUACUCAGCCUUGCUUAUGGCAUAAUUUUUAUAGGUACCUCCUUUGGAUCAAUGGUUGUUGGUGUGACUUGGCCUUCAUCCUUGCCACCGGGAUAGACGGUCGAGUGGUUUACUACUUCCGCAGGAGAGGUCCAGGAGGAGUAGCAUGGCCAGGCUUUGCCAUGUUACUCGGUUUUCUCCGUUAGUUAUUUCCCCUGCAUUAAAACUACAGUUAAGGUUUCUGAAACUCCGAUGAUGUAAUCACUACUGGUACUUCCUUAAUCUAUGGUAUUAUGCUUUAUUGUA